Molecule: long non-coding RNA, 422 nt
Filed under: Homo sapiens (human)
Lineage: Eukaryota; Metazoa; Chordata; Mammalia; Primates; Hominidae
Description: non-protein coding lnc-SPTBN2-4:1
Source: RNAcentral
CAGAAUUAUUUCAUCGAGUUGGAGGCAGCUGUCAAUCGCCUGGUCAAUUUGUAUCUGUAGGCCUCCUACAUCUCUCUCAUUCUGGGCUUCUAUUUUGACCACAAUGAUGUGGCACUGGAAGGCACUGGCCACUUCUUCCACAAAUUGGCUGAGAAGUGUAAGGGUGCAGAGGAUCUCUUGAAGUUGCAAAGCCAGCAUGGCAGCCACAUUCUAUUGCAGUAGAGACGGGGUUUCACCAUGUUAGCCAGGAUGGUCUCAAUCUCCUGACCUCAUGAUCCGCCCACCUUGGCCUUCCAAAGUGCUGGGAUUACAGGCGUGAGCCACCACGCCCAGCCUCAAAUUUAAAUUUCUUAAAAAGAAAUUGGAAUGGCUGAGGAUGGUGGCUCAUGCCUGUAAUCCCAGCACUUUGGGAGGCCGAGGUG